Papilio xuthus (Asian swallowtail) is the source of this 532-nucleotide long non-coding RNA. RefSeq lists it as uncharacterized. The record is from RefSeq and is a predicted model, not a curated record. The transcript has 3 exons. NCBI's taxonomy places the organism in Eukaryota, Metazoa, Arthropoda, Insecta, Lepidoptera, Papilionidae.
UCAGGUUUUCAAAUAUUACAAUUCUAUUUGACAAAUCAAUCAAAAUUUCCGUACAAAACUACACAAACCAUAUUUCAAAAAUAACACAAAAUUCCGGUAUGAGCAAUAGUAUCAAGGCAGGAUGGUGAGACUGGUGCGAGGUGGAUAGCGUACGAUGGGCUUGGUGCGCGACGCGCUCUUUCUCCUGCUGACCACUCUGCUUGCCGUCUCCUCCUUCGCCGCUGCCUGCACGAGGAAAGUUUACAUCGCCUGCAAGAAACCUGCACCCUGCGGGGAGUAACUAAGUAUGUCGCUGUUUGACCUCAGUCGAUUAGUGAUUCUAUCAUUGACCAUCCUUGCGCUGGUGUUGACCGGAGCUCGCGGCUGCAAAAAGAGCGUGGCCUGCACAGGGCGCCCCCCUUGCCGUCGCGGCCCCUUGGGGAAGUAACGUGACAGAAAAUUUGAAAACAUGGACAAAACUAAACUGAUUUGCAGAGUCUGCCCGACUUAUUUGCUUCGGAAAUAUGAAUAUUAUUAUGCAUUUAUUUCUUAA